This 253-nucleotide ribosomal RNA is filed under the name uncultured bacterium. RNAcentral describes it as "partial 16S ribosomal RNA". It matches the Rfam family "Bacterial small subunit ribosomal RNA", at positions 524 to 776 of the family's 1533-position model. The record is from RNAcentral.
UACGAAGGGUGCAAGCGUUACUCGGAAUUACUGGGCGUAAAGCGUGCGUAGGUGGUGAGUUAAGUCUGUCGUGAAAGCCCCGGGCUCAACCUGGGAAUGGCGAUGGAUACUGGCUCGCUAGAGUGCGGUAGAGGAGAGUGGAAUUCCCGGUGUAGCAGUGAAAUGCGUAGAGAUCGGGAGGAACAUCAGUUGCGAAGGCGGCUCACUGGACCGGUACUGACGCUGAGGCGCGAAAGCGUGGGGAGCAAACAGG